CCUACGGGAGGCAGCAGUGAGGAAUAUUGGUCAAUGGGGGCAACCCUGAACCAGCCAAGUAGCGUGCAGGAUGACGGCCCUCUGAGUUGUAAACUGCUUUUCUGCGGGAAUAAACUGCGUUACGUGUGGCUUAUUGCAUGUACCGCAUGAAUCAGGACCGGCUAAUUCCGUGCCAGCAGCCGCGGUAAUACGGAAGGUCCGGGCGUUAGCCGGAUUUAUUGGGUUUAAAGGGAGCGUAGGCCGCCCCUUACGCGUGUGGUGAAAUGCCGCGGCUCAACCGGGGCACUGCAGCGCUAACUGGGGGGCUUGAGUGCGCUGGAGGUAGGCGGAAUUCGCGGUGUAGCGGUGAAAUGCGUAGAGAUCACGAAGAACUCCGAUUGCGAAGGCAGCCUACUGUAGCGUAACUGACGCUGAGGCUCGAAGGCGUGGGUAGCGAACAGGAUUAGAUACCCGUGUAGUC
RNAcentral lists this ribosomal RNA (460 nucleotides) under uncultured bacterium. Its description in RNAcentral is "partial 16S ribosomal RNA". It matches the Rfam family "Bacterial small subunit ribosomal RNA", at positions 338 to 795 of the family's 1533-position model. The record is from RNAcentral.